Molecule: small nuclear RNA, 207 nt
Filed under: Myotis davidii
Lineage: Eukaryota; Metazoa; Chordata; Mammalia; Chiroptera; Vespertilionidae
Description: 7SK RNA
Rfam family: 7SK RNA
About the family: 7SK was discovered as an abundant small nuclear RNA in the mid-70s but a possible function has only recently been suggested. Two independent studies have found that 7SK RNA binds the CDK9/cyclin T complex (known as elongation factor P-TEFb).
Source: Rfam by way of RNAcentral
GGAUGUGAGGGUGAUCUGGCUGCAAUAUCUGUCACCCCAUUGAUCGCCAGGGUUGAUUCGGCUGAUCUGGCUGGCUAGGUGGGUGUCCCCCUCCUCCCUCACCGAUCCAUGUGCGUCCUUCCCAAAGCUGCGCGCUGCUUUCCCCAUAUCCAGUAAACAUGCUCUAUCCAGGAGAAGUUGGCAGAAUUGGGACUUUCCUUCACCCUG